This 114-nucleotide ribosomal RNA is filed under the name Candidatus Paraburkholderia calva. Lineage: Bacteria; Pseudomonadati; Pseudomonadota; Betaproteobacteria; Burkholderiales; Burkholderiaceae. The record is from RNAcentral.
UACGAUCAUACCAGCACUAGUGCACCGGAUCCCAUCAGAACUCCGAAGUUAAGCGUGCUUGGGCGAGGGUAGUACUAGGAUGGGUGACCCCCUGGGAAGUCCUCGUGUUGUACC